Phalacrocorax carbo (great cormorant) is the source of this 1212-nucleotide non-coding RNA. The record is from RefSeq and is a predicted model, not a curated record. Lineage: Eukaryota; Metazoa; Chordata; Aves; Suliformes; Phalacrocoracidae.
UGAUGGUGGAAGGUGUGAAGGUCUCCAAGGGCUUGACAGCUAUGGAUUAGGCCUCACUGCAUGGCUCUGCCAUAGAAGAACAUCAACCUGAUCUACUGGUGGGGAAACUGAGGCAUGGGGCAGAGACCAGGGAUGUGGAGCUGUGGUGCUGGCAAUGCUGAGCUGCCUUUGCCUGCAGAGAAGAGCUGAUGGUUGCAUGUCUGAGUCCAGGAACACAACAAUCCUGGAGUCCUCUUUCCCUGGCCUCCUUAAUCUGAUGGAGUCACCAUGCUGGCUUUUAUGAAAGAGGCCAAGAAGAUGGGAGAUGGUGUGAGCUCAGGCCAUGGGAGCUUUCACCGUCCAGCAUAAGCCACUGAACCUUGGUGACAGGGAUGGUGUUUCCUAGGGCUAUCAGCUUGGACAACCUGCAGCCACCCUUGGCAGCUGGCCAAUGCCUCCAUUGCACUUCAGCAGUGCUUAUUCCCCAGAUCUCUGUGUUUCCCCCUCACUUAUGCCCACAUCUUGUUCAGUUAAUCAAUGUGCCGAUUAAAGAAGCCCAGGCUCUGCACUGGCGCAACAGUGAGUCUCUGAGAGGGUUUUCAGCUUUGUUCUCCUCCGACAGCCCACCAGGGUGGAAAAUACGCAUCCAACAAAACAGGCUCCCUCUCUGGGCUGGGUUGCAGGGCUGCUUCCCCCAGUCAAUGUGCUCGUAUUGGAGGUGGAAAGAGGACUGUGAGGGGUCUGGGUAGGGCACCGCAGCUCCCAGCCCACAGGACCUGGGAGGCAUCCGCGCACAGCACAGCAUAGUGGUCCUGGAUGGUGCUGCUGAGCUGUCAGUGAUCUGCCUUGUCUUCCUUGCCAAGGGGCACGUGGCUCUGACCCAGCACAUCGCUGCAAUGUAUUUCAGGGACUGCAGCUGGGGUUUCCCUCCAGCUGUGUGGAAAUAUGCUUAAGGCUGGUCCACACCAAGUGGCAAAGGGCCUGCUAGGGCUUGUUCCUGGCCCAUGGCAGCAGGCAGCCCACGGGCAUGCAGUCUCUCUGCCCAGCAUCAGCAGCCACCCUUCUCCAUGGCAAGCCCUCUGAUGGAGUGGUAUUGUCCUCCAGCUCCCACACAGCCUGGUCCAGCACCAUCCCUGGCUCAUAUGUUGUAUGCCUUUAUCUUCUGUAUGGUUUUAUCUAAAGAUAGUGUCGUCUUUCCCUGCCCAACCCAAGUAUCUGCCCAUGGGGGUUCAA